RNAcentral lists this ribosomal RNA (253 nucleotides) under uncultured bacterium. Its description in RNAcentral is "partial 16S ribosomal RNA". It matches the Rfam family "Bacterial small subunit ribosomal RNA", at positions 524 to 776 of the family's 1533-position model. The record is from RNAcentral.
UACGUAGGGUGCGAGCGUUGUCCGGAAUUAUUGGGCGUAAAGAGCUCGUAGGCGGUUUGUUGCGUCUAUCGUGAAAACCUGCAGCUUAACUGUGGGCUUGCGGUGGAUACGGGCAGACUUGAGUUCGGUAGGGGAGACUGGAAUUCCUGGUGUAGCGGUGAAAUGCGCAGAUAUCAGGAGGAACACCGGUGGCGAAGGCGGGUCUCUGGGCUGACACUGACGCUCAUGCACGAAAGCGUGGGGAGCAAACAGG